Molecule: long non-coding RNA, 1442 nt
Organism: Cucumis melo (muskmelon)
Lineage: Eukaryota; Viridiplantae; Streptophyta; Magnoliopsida; Cucurbitales; Cucurbitaceae
Exons: 3
Source: RefSeq, a predicted model, not a curated record
GAAAAUGGAAACUAAUUAAAAAGGAAAAAGAAUAAGAAUUAAAGAAAAAGAAAAUGUGAAAAGAGAAGAAGGUGGAAGGGAAUGAGAUUGUCCAUUUGUUGCAAUAAGUAAAUGGUUGUUUAUCCCACUAUCAAACCAAUUUUUCAUUCAAUUUCCAUCCUUUCUUCUUCAAACUUUUAAAAUAGAAAGAGAGGUUGAGAAGAAAGAGAAGAAGUUUUGGUAUUUUUAGGUUGAAGAUGAUGGGGGAAAGCUCACGGAAACCACGACAGUUUUUGGUUGGCUUCAUCUGUGAUACCUCUAGUUUUAAAUUCUGUUCGAGUUGCAUAAGAACUAAAAGGAAGAUCACAUGAGCCAAAUAUGACUGCAAAUAGUUUUAACUUCAAGAAAAAGAUAGAGGUUGCACAACAUGUGAAUUUGGAGUAGCUCCAUUUUGGAGGCUUUCUAGGACAAUCCACUUGAAAUCUGAUCUAUAUUCCUUCAAGUUAUGUUCCAUUGUUGAUGUUGAGUGGACUCUAUAACAACAAUGCAGUUAGGGGUGGUGGGUGUGAUUACUACAUCGUCAAGUUAGUACUGCUAUGAAACAUUGGUUGUACUGGACAAGCCCUACACAACGUAGAUUUGUCAUGUUAGUUAACAUGUUUAAUAUACAUGUCACGCCCAACCCCAUAAACUGCUCCUUGCGAUCAAAUGGGGGCAUGCCACCUAGACACUCAUCUCGUACCUCUUCACGAGAUGACACGUUGAACGCCUAGUAAGCGGAACAUCUUAAUCAACUUUCUUUUGCAAAGUCUUUGCCUCAACUUGGGCUUUCUUAUUUCAACGAAAAUUUACAACUUUGAACUUUGCUUUGUUGUCUAGUACGGUUACAUAACACAACUCAACUUUAACUUCUAGACGACAAUCUCAAGAGAUAAUAACAAAAUAGCAGAAUACAUAACUCCAUUUUUUUAUUAACUUAACACCUUUAUAAGGUUAUGCAUUACAAAUUACAUUCCUUUUUCUCGUGGAACAUAAAACUAAAACUAAAUUUUGACCCACUUUUCUUACUCCACCGUCUAACGUUGCUUCUUGAGAUAGGAUACGUAGAGGAAUUUCUUUCAUCCUUCUCCUCGAUCGCCCAGCCAAUCCAACUCAAAGACGAGCUUCAAAGCUUCUUUUCCCUAGCUCUGUUCUUCGACUCUGUUUCUUUCCAGCUUGGCCUCACCAACCUAGGUGUAGCGCUCGCCUUCCUUCUCAACUGGGUUUUGGGCAUUAAGGAGCGAUGCUCUCACCAAUCGGCUCCUUAAGCACGAGAUAGGAUGACACAACUCACACGCCACACAAGUCUACAUGAGCAUACUCUUUCUUCUCACUUACUUGGCUUCAGCGCCUAACAACCUAGAGACAAAAAAACUUAAAGCAUAAGUCAAAGACUUAGUGAGUGAUGAGUUUAAGAAACAUCU